This 300-nucleotide ribosomal RNA is filed under the name uncultured bacterium. RNAcentral's name for it is "partial 16S ribosomal RNA". It matches the Rfam family "Bacterial small subunit ribosomal RNA", at positions 496 to 795 of the family's 1533-position model. The record is from RNAcentral.
GCGAGAUGCGUGGUCAGGGCCGGGGUAAUACGGAGGUGGCGGGGGUGAAUCGGAGUUGCGGGGGUUAAAGUGGGCGCAGGCGGCGGCGGAAGGCGAGGGUGAAAGGCCCGGGCGUAACUUGGGAAUUGCGGUCGAAACUACGUGGCUGGAGGGUGGCAGAGGAAGGUGGAAUUCCACGUGUAGCGGUGAAAUGCGUAGAGAUGUGGAGGAACACCGAUGGCGAAGGCAGCCUUCUGUGCCAACACUGACGCUCAUGCACGAAAGCGUGGGGAGCAAACAGGAUUAGAUACCCCAGUAGUC